UACAGAGGUGCCGAGCGUUAGGCGGAAUCACUGGGCUUAAAGCGUGUGUAGGCGGAUGCCUAAGUACCUUGUGAAAUCCCCCGGCUUAACCGGGGAGCUGCUUGGUAUACUGGGUGUCUUGAGCCACUUAGGGGCGACCGGAACAAACGGUGGAGCGGUGAAAUGCGUAGAUAUCGUUUGGAACGCCAAUGGUGAAAACAGGUCGCUGGGAGUGUGCUGACGCUGAGACACGAAAGCCAGGGGAGCGAACGGG
This 253-nucleotide ribosomal RNA is filed under the name uncultured bacterium. RNAcentral describes it as "partial 16S ribosomal RNA". It matches the Rfam family "Bacterial small subunit ribosomal RNA", at positions 524 to 776 of the family's 1533-position model. The record is from RNAcentral.